RNAcentral lists this ribosomal RNA (478 nucleotides) under uncultured bacterium. Its description in RNAcentral is "partial 16S ribosomal RNA". It matches the Rfam family "Bacterial small subunit ribosomal RNA", at positions 28 to 523 of the family's 1533-position model. The record is from RNAcentral.
GACGAACGCUGGCGGCGUGCUUAACACAUGCAAGUCGAACGGUAAGGCCCUUCGGGGUACACGAGUGGCGAACGGGUGAGUAACACGUGGGUGAUCUGCCCUGCACUUCGGGAUAAGCCUGGGAAACUGGGUCUAAUACCGGAUAGGACUCCGGACUGCAUGGUCGGGGGUGGAAAGCUUUUGCGGUGUGGGAUGGGCCCGCGGCCUAUCAGCUUGUUGGUGGGGUGAUGGCCUACCAAGGCCACGACGGGUAGCCGGCCUGAGAGGGUGACCGGCCACACUGGGACAGAGAUACGGCCCAGACUCCUACGGGAGGCAGCAGUGGGGAAUAUUGCACAAUGGGCGCAAGCCUGAUGCAGCGACGCCGCGUGAGGGAUGACGGCCUUCGGGUUGUAAACCUCUUUCAGCAUCGACGAAGCGAAAGUGACGGUAGGUGCAGAAGAGGGACCGGCCAACUACGUGCCAGCCGCCGCGGUAA